Molecule: long non-coding RNA, 451 nt
Filed under: Numida meleagris (helmeted guineafowl)
Lineage: Eukaryota; Metazoa; Chordata; Aves; Galliformes; Numididae
Description: lncRNA (ENSNMEG00000006591.1)
Source: RNAcentral
CCCCAUUGUCCCUGCAUCACAAAUGUUGCCUGCCAUAGCCCCCAGCUGGUGACACGGCAACCCGCAUCACAAAGGGGACACCACAAAUUUGGGGCAGAGCGAGGCGGGGUGCCACUUUGCCCGUGAGCUGACUGGAGAGAGGAGCUUGACUGCUUGGCUCUCUCUGCACGUCACAGGCAUGGCUGAUUUCUGGGGAAUGGGCUUCUUCCCCAGCCUGGAGGAUUACAGUAUCUUCUACCGUAUCCUCUGGAAUAUGCUGAUCAUAGCAUUAUUCGACUUCGUUAUGGAUUUGUGGGAUCGGAGGAGAGAGAGACAGAGGAUGUGCCAACACAAAGGCAACCAGGAAAAUUCUAGAGUUUGGGACUUCCGCACGUCUUCACAGCACUCGAGGAUGCAGUAAGUAAAACUGUCCCCUCUUGGAGCACGGCAGCCCUCUCCAGUCACCUCCCAC